RNAcentral lists this ribosomal RNA (253 nucleotides) under uncultured bacterium. RNAcentral describes it as "partial 16S ribosomal RNA". It matches the Rfam family "Bacterial small subunit ribosomal RNA", at positions 524 to 776 of the family's 1533-position model. The record is from RNAcentral.
UACGUAGGGAGCGAGCGUUAUCCGGAAUUAUUGGGCGUAAAGCGUACGUAGGCGGUUUGUUAAGUCAAAUCUGAAAGCCCCCAGCUUAACUGGGGAGGGUGAUUUGAAACUGGCAGACUUGAGUAUGGCAGAGGUAAGUGGAAUUUCAAGUGUAGCGGUGGAAUGCGUAGAUAUUUGAAGGAACACCAGUGGCGAAGGCGGCUUACUGGACCAGAACUGACGCUGAGGUACGAAAGCGUGGGGAGCAAACAGG